This is a long non-coding RNA of Felis catus (domestic cat), 5298 nucleotides long. RefSeq lists it as uncharacterized. The record is from RefSeq and is a predicted model, not a curated record. The transcript has 2 exons. Lineage: Eukaryota; Metazoa; Chordata; Mammalia; Carnivora; Felidae.
GGAGAAAAAAAGGAAAAAGUAAAAACAGAAACAGGCAAAAAAAAUUGGGAGAGAAAAGGAGUAGAGAAAAAAGAAAAAUGAAAAUAAAAAAAUAAACAAAAUGAAAAAAAGAGAAGUCAAAAUCCAACUAGCUAGGGUCAAAGGCCGACAGGUCACCAAAGCUUCCUGGGCUGUAAAGACCAAACACCCAGCCGAGCCAGGGUCUUAUAUAGACAGGUCUUGCCAUGACUUCACAAUGGGGCUUUGUGAGGGCACAGCAAGAAAUGGGCCAAUUAUGCAAUCAUGGCUGGGGAUGUCUGAGACCACAGUGGUUUCCUCACUUUUUAUUCCCAAAACCCCUUUACUCAAUAAAAAAAAAGACCCCCAAUGGGCUUUUUGUUUGUUUGUGUGGGCUUUUCAAGAUUGAUAUUUACUUUGUUAGAAAUCAAAAUCUAUAAGAUGGUUCAGUGGCCUUUCACUUCAAGUUUAGAAAACUGUAAUUUUGGCUUGUAUAGACCUCGUAAUGUCUACACGUAAAAUACCCAGUUCCUGGUCUCAAAAUGGUGCUACAACAUAUAAGGAAAUGUUGUGUUGUGUACAACACGAUAAGGCUCAUUAUUAACAUCUAUAAAGCUCAGAGGAAGAUUGCUUUUCAUCAUAUUUUCACUGAUAAGGUUGUGAGGAGAUUUCUCAUCAGAAACCUUGGAGGCUAGAAGGCAUGGGUUGAUGUGUUUAAAGCACUGAAGGAAAAAAGCUGUCAAGCAAGAAUCCUACAUUUGGGAAAACUGUCCUUCAAAAAUGAGGAAGAAAUGAAGACAUUCCCAGAUCAACCAAAGCUGAAAGCCUUGCCCUGAUGACUAGACCGGCCCUGCAGUGAAGGGGGUCCUUCAGGUUGAAAUGAAAGGGCACUGAACAAGUAACUCGAAGCCUUCUGAAGAGAUAAUCUCCGGUAAAGGUAAACAGACAGACAAUUAUGAACGCUAGUACUGUUAUGACUUUGGUCUGUAGCUCUACUUUUUGUUCUCUAUGUUAAGAGACUGAUAUAUUUAAAAACCUAAUUAUUCAUCUAUGCUUUUGGACACAAGAUGCAUAAAGAUGUGAUUUUGUGACAUUAACAACUGACAGAAGGUGGGGUCAGGGCUUUAAAGUAGCUGAGUUUUCAUGUGUUAUUGAGGUUAAGCUGGUAUAAAUUGACACUACAAUGUUGUAACUUUAGGAUGUUAAAAGCAAUCCCAUGGUAACCACACACAACCACACACACACACACACACACACACGCCACAGAACAUACACAAAAGGAAAUGAGAAGGGAAUUAAAAUGUUUCACUACAAAAAAAAAUCAACUAAAUGCAAAAGAAGAUAGUCAUGCAGAAAAUUUGAGACAGAAAGCAAUUAAGGCAUAUAGAAAACAAAGAGCAAACCACAGAAGGAAUUCCUUCCUUAUCAGUAAUGACUUUAAAUGUAAGCAGAUUAAACAGAUUAGUGAAAUGGAUAAAAACAUAGGAUCCAACUCUCUGUUACCUACAAGGGACUCAGAUCCAAAGACACAAAAAAGUUGAACGUGAAAGGAAGGAAAAAGAUAAUCCAUGCAAAUAGUAGCCAAAAGAAAGGGUGGAGUGGCUGUAAUAAUACCAGACAGAACAGACGUUAAAUCGGAAAAUGUUACAAGAGACAAAGAAGGACAUUUUAUAUGAAUUAAGAGGUUCAGUACAGCAAGAAGAAAAGAUGAUAAACAUUUACACACAUAAUGAGAGGCCAUUAUCGACAGAACUGAAGGGAAAAAUAGUUGUAUAAUAAUCGUUGGAGCCUUCCAUAUCCCACUGUCAAUAACGGACAGGACAACCAGACAGAAGGUAAGUAAGGACACAGAGGAUUUGAAGAACACCAUAGCCCAGCCAGAUCUAACAGACGGGCACGGGACCCCACCCAACAAUAACGGCACGCGGGACCUUCUCUGAGACAGUCUUUGCAUUAGGUCACGAGUUAAGUCUCAGUAGAUUUUACAAGAUAGAUAUCAUACAAAGUAUCUUUUCCAACCACAAGAAGAUGAAGUCAGAAAUGGGUAACAGAAGGAAGAGUGGAAAAUUUAAACAGCUGUGAAAACUGAAAACACACUCUCAAAGAACCAAUGUGUCGAAGAAGAAAUCACAGUGGAAUGCGAACAUACGUAGAGGUGAAGGGAAAUGAAACACGACGCGUCAAAACUCCUGGAAAACAACAAAGCAGUGGCGAGGGGGAAAUUUAUAGCUGUAAACGCUCACAGUAAACAUCAAGACAGAUCUUAAAUCAACACCAUAGACGUGCAACUUAAGAAACUAGAAAAAGCCAAAGGUAGCAAAGGGAAGGACAUAAUAAAGAUUAGAGCGGAGAUAAAUGAAACAGAGGCUAGAAAAACGAAAGAGAUAAUCAAUGGACCCAAGAGCUGGUCCUUUGAAAACACCAAACUGCUAGCCGGAUUGCCGGUGGAGGCAGAGAAGACUCAAUGACUGCAUUGCCACUGACUCCUUACAGACGUAGAAAGGGUUAGAGUGCUAUCAACAAGUGUAUUCCAGCUAAUUGGAGAAUCCAGAUACAAUGGACCAAUUUCUAGACCUAGAAAACCUACCAAGACUAAAUCACAAAGAAAGAGAAAAUCGGAAGAGAUUCGUACAUAACUAGGGAGGAGCCUGAGGCUGUAAUCGAAGAUCACUUGACCAAAAAAAGCCCCGGAUCUGACAGCCUCACUGGUGAAUUCUACCAAACAUUGGAAGAAUUGACACCAAUCUUCUCAAACUCUUCCAAAAAAUUCAGGAGAAAGAACACUUCCCAACUAAUUCUAUCAGGCCGGCAUUGAUUUGAUGCACCCUAAAUAUCUCUGGGCCACCUUCCAGACAGUCACCAGAGGAGUUUUCUAAAAUAUCCAGCCAGAUGAGUUAUUUUCUCAGCGACAAAAGAGACCUUUCUCUGGUCUGUGGAAAGAGAGGACCAGCAGUGUCUCCAGAAUCAGGCUGAACAUCUAUGGACCUCUUCUGAGAGCCUCCGUCCACAACGGAUGGGCCACACCGCAGACUGGACACAGCUGAAGCGGGGCAGGGGGUGGGGUGGGGAGGGGAGAAUUCACGGAGGUAACCUGGGCUUCAAUUGGUCUGUCAGCUGCUUUGACUGCUUUGGGCAUCUUUGAAUACAACAAGCCAUGCCCUCGUUGGACACUGGGAAAGGACAAUCUAUCUGCACAUCCAGCCCUAUGGGCUGGAGUCUCCCAAACGAGGCCAUCGUUUGUUUUGGCAACUCUGCUCCACCACAACAUUCAUCAGACUCCUGAGAAAGACGACCGAUGAAGGGAUCCAUAAAUGGUUUCCAGUUUUCUCCCACCGUGUUGACUGGAAGCCCUGAGAACGAACACUGCUUUUCCCUGAAGCCCCGCAAACCGAAGCCAGGCCAGCCGAGGUACACGUGAGAGAAAAGUGGCCCGGUGAUCUAAGGGCCACUCAGAAAGAUCACCAGAGACACACGGAAAGCUGAACAAGCUGAUCGCAGCCAUCCCGACUGGACAAGCUGCCAUCGGAGCAUCCAGACGUGGACGUGUUCACGGAUGGGGACAGUGUCACGGGUCAAAGACAAGGAAGAGCUGGGAGCAGUGGUGACCCAUCAGCUACCGUCCGCUGCGGAAGACGCCACAAAGUGGACCGACUGCCCAAGGGAACCAUGCUGGCAGCCCGUCAAAGACUCCAAGACCCUCUGGAAGAGCUCUCGUGCCAAAGAUAGACUUAACUACAUAUCAACCCCAACGUCCCUUGGAGGACCAAAGAGGAGUUAAGUAAGGAGUGGGGGUUUGGACACCGUGCUGGCCUUGACACCGGCUGGAAAUAGAAGGAAUCCUUACCCUAGAGCAUCUGAUGAAAGAAAUAAUUAGCCACAUUCCUCGAAGCACCCGUUAUGGGAAAGAUGCCCCUCUUCAGUGGAUCCAGAAGUAUACUGCGGGCUCCGGUUUCAGCGAAAUGCUACAAAAGGCAACGCUUGUGCUAAAAACAACCCUAAGACUGGGUGCCCACAAGUUCUCAAGGGUAUACAACUGAGACGCCCCAAACCUGGGGAAGACCGGCACGCAGCCUUUCCCAGAAUGCAAAGAACAAUGGGAAAUUCUCGGGGUUUGCUUGUAUCUGCAGACACCUUUAUCAACGGGGUUGAGGUUCCUCCCUGGUGUUCAGAGAAGGCCUCGGGAGUUGUCAAAAUGCUUUGAAGCGAGAUCAUUUCUAGGUUUGGACUGCCGCUAAUAAUUCAGAGGGACAGUGGAGUGACAACCACAGAGUCCAAGGCCUUGGGCAUUCAGUGGAAAUCACACGCUUCCUGGAGACACCGAGAGAGUGGAAAAAGGGGGAAAAAAUGAACUUUGGCAAAGCUCUGCCAAGAAACCCACUUCACUUGGGAACAACCCGUGCCAUCUGCCCUGCUUUGGGAAAGAGUGGUCCCUAGAAGAGGGCUUGGUUUAAGCCCCUGUGGAAUGUCAUAUGCAAGACUUUCUAUGUUCUUUUCGUGACCUAGGAGGUGCUGGCGGGGCUCCCACCAGCGAUUUGGAUACUAUCAGGUACAUCCAGGGCCUGAGUUUGCUUCCGGCAGGCUGAUGUACCUCACAGAUGUGUCUUCACGCUGCCUGAAUCCCUUGGUGACAUCCAAAGGUGUCACUCAAGAUGUCACUAAAGACCUGAAGAGCGGGAGCCCAGAGGACCAGCUCCAGCCUCACUGUCCAGGUCAGACCCUGCGAGGUGCCGUUGACCCCCCACUCCCCCGAGACUACAGGGAAUUGAGCCGUGGAUUCACACUUGAAUGACAAGAAUCCACAGGUUCCCUACACCUGUCAGCAGGGAGGAGGUCGAAAGGGACCCGGCUCAGACCAGUGAGCCUCUGCUGGACCUGAACCUCCGACGUGGGGGAACUGGUACAAGGGAAUCAAGCCAUGAGGACAACAUGCUGCCUGUUGUUCUCUAGUACCCCUAAAGCCCUAGACACAACAUGGUACAGGAACUAUUGACCAAAGUACAAAAAUCCCGGUAAUGCAGGCCAUUCCUUUCCACCCCAAAGUUUCCCCUUGUCUAACCCCAGUCUCCACCCCACCUCAGCAGGAAGUAACGGCCGCGGCCGGGUGGUGGUCCCAAUACCCACAAGAAUGCGGACGGAUCAAAAGACCCUGGGGACUGAAAAGGGUAACCAAAGGGCUAGCAGCCGCAACUCUGUACCCUGACCUUUUUCCUUCGCCACUAAGUACCCCUGACUCUCCUCCUCUAGGGAGGUGGAUGUGAGGCUCGCCCUCCUGCCUCUGGAAUAAACUCUUGCUUUGCUUUA